RNAcentral lists this ribosomal RNA (358 nucleotides) under Vibrio parahaemolyticus. Its description in RNAcentral is "partial 23S ribosomal RNA". It matches the Rfam family "Bacterial large subunit ribosomal RNA", at positions 1531 to 1870 of the family's 2925-position model. The record is from RNAcentral. Lineage: Bacteria; Pseudomonadati; Pseudomonadota; Gammaproteobacteria; Vibrionales; Vibrionaceae.
GUUAGGUAAAUCCGGCUCUUUCUAAGGCUGAGACACGACGUCGAGCACCUACGGGUGUGAAGUCAUUGAUGCCAUGCUUCCAGGAAAAGCCUCUAAGCUUCAGAUUGUAAGGAAUCGUACCCCAAACCGACACAGGUGGUCGGGUAGAGAAUACCAAGGCGCUUGAGAGAACUCGGGUGAAGGAACUAGGCAAAAUGGUACCGUAACUUCGGGAGAAGGUACGCUCUUGAUGGUGAAGUCCCUCGCGGAUGGAGCUGACGAGAGUCGCAGAUACCAGGUGGCUGCAACUGUUUAUUAAAAACACAGCACUGUGCAAAAUCGUAAGAUGACGUAUACGGUGUGACGCCUGCCCGGUGCC